UGGUGGAGUGAUUUGUCUGGUUAAUUCCGAUAACGAACGAGACCUUAACCUGCUAAAUAGCGACGCGAACAUUUGUUGGUGGUCGCUUCUUAGAGGGACUAUCGAUGUUGCAAUCGAUGGAAGUUUGAGGCAAUAACA
Molecule: ribosomal RNA, 138 nt
Filed under: uncultured eukaryote
Lineage: Eukaryota
Description: partial 18S ribosomal RNA
Rfam family: Eukaryotic small subunit ribosomal RNA
Source: RNAcentral